Molecule: ribosomal RNA, 425 nt
Filed under: uncultured bacterium
Lineage: Bacteria
Description: partial 16S ribosomal RNA
Rfam family: Bacterial small subunit ribosomal RNA
Source: RNAcentral
GUGGGGAAUCUUGCGCAAUGGGCGAAAGCCUGACGCAGCCAUGCCGCGUGAAUGAUGAAGGUCUUAGGAUUGUAAAAUUCUUUCAUCGGGGACGAUAAUGACGGUACCCGGAGAAGAAGCUCCGGCUAACUUCGUGCCAGCAGCCGCGGUAAUACGAAGGGGGCUAGCGUUGCUCGGAAUUACUGGGCGUAAAGGGCGCGUAGGCGGACAGCUUAGUCAGAGGUGAAAGCCCAGGGCUCAACCUUGGAAUUGCCUUUGAUACUGGCUGUCUUGAGUUUGGGAGAGGUGAGUGGAACUCCGAGUGUAGAGGUGAAAUUCGUAGAUAUUCGGAAGAACACCAGUGGCGAAGGCGACUCACUGGCCCAAUACUGACGCUGAGGCGCGAAAGCGUGGGGAGCAAACAGGAUUAGAUACCCUUGUAGUCC